GGGGGAACAAGAGAAAAAUUACAAAGAAAUUAAAAUGUCCUAGCCAAAUUCCCCCUCCCGCUCGCCCAAAUUCUCCUCCCGCUUUCUCCCAAAUACCGGUUCCCUCCAAAUUCUAUUUUUCCAUUAAAUCAUAUUCCCUCGCAUUCAUGCCCAUUUCUCCUCAGACCUCUCGUCUCUCCCUCUUGUUUCUUCUGUGAACUAUUUUCUAGGGUUUAGUUUCGUUCUUUCGCUUUCUUUGUAUCUCUAUUACUUACGUUGUUUUAAUCUUUUGUGAAGUAUCCAACUGCAAAAUGCGAGAAUCAGCAGGCAAUUGCUAUUUUGCAAAUUCAGACAUUCAACAUUCCAAAAUUCAUUCAAAACUCCUUCAGCAGGUAUGUGAAAAUUGCACUUAGAUUUUGUUCAUGAUCCUUGAAUUUGUGUGUUUGAUUCUGAUACUGUGAUUUUGCCAUCAAUGUAUUUCCCUCGCUCAACCUUAGGUUCAAACUAGUUGAAAAAUAAGACUUCUCAUUCAAACUCAUUAAGGAGAUAUGGAUAAGUGAAUGUUCUUAUUGUAGAAACGUUAUCGUGGAAAGAAAUAUUCAUUAGUUAACCAAUAAAAAAUGAAACCUUUUAUCUGUAAAGAGAUGGCAGUACCAAAUGCAACAGAUCAAGACAAUUGCAUAUAUAUUUCUCAUUGACUCAGAAAUCUACCUUCUAAUGUACCAAUCAGUUAUAGGUAAGUGUCUUCAUAGCUGAGUAGUAGAUCUACUAAUUUUUCUAAAGAUCACUUGGUAAUUUCAAUUUACGUUGUACUCUCCAGUACUUAUUUUGAUAAAAAAAAUUAAAAAAAAAAAAAACAGAUUUUAACUUAGCAGAAAGUGGGAACUACUCCUUAUAAGUUUUAUUUAAAGAGGACUUGGUUCUUUGUGUUGUGACGUGAGUCCAUAUUUAAAGGGCUGCAUAAAAUUCAUAUCGGCUUAUCCAGAUGCUCUGUUUGAAGUGCUUCACAUAUAGUCUCGCACACUGGUGGACCUAUGUAGUGUACUAUGGGUGCUUAAGCACCCAUUGCUUUUUGUGACAAACACUAUUAUUUACAUACAAAAUCUUGUAAUUAAUUCAAAUAUAUUAAAUGAACACCCACUCUAUGUAGCAAUUUCCAAACUAAAAAUAAUUAAGCACCCAUUAUAUAAAAUUUCUGGAUCCGCCACUGGUCUCGCACCCUCGCUUACGUGUCCUAGUCCAAUGUUUUUGCUAAACUGCAGAACUAUGUCAUCAGAUUUUGGGAUUUAUAAUGGAAUCUUUCAUUUUGAUGGUGUACAUUAUGACUGAGAUAGUUACAUACACAUUUUGACUCUUAUUUAUUUAAUAUAAACAACUUUUCUAGCUUAUAGUGUGCUAUGACUAAUUUGGGAAGUGGACUAAAAUUGAGUUAAAUUUACGAGUGCUUUGUGAACUAGUUGAAAUUGGAUAAAACAAAUAUUUAAAUUGUUCUAGCCAUUUUAAUUGAAAGCUAACUGGGAAUCAACUUGUAUGCUAAUGUUGCUAGUGUUACUGUACUACAGUUGUACGGGUGUCUUUCUACUUCUCAUCUGGUGUCGUUUUUUAGAGGCUUAGAAUGAGACAUUGAAUUGAUGUUCAUUUGACAUACUUCUAUUUAUGAUAUGAUAUUUUUGGGGUCCAAUAUAUCAAUUAUCAAUAUUGGUUAAGCAAGGAAAAUAUCAAUUGAGUUGAAUGACCAGAAGAUAACAAUUGUGUUGAAUGGCCAGUCUUCCAAUGUGGAGAGCUUCACCAUCUGUAAGUUGGAAGCUUAUUACAUAACAGUUGAGCCUCCUCUCAAACUGCAACUAUCCAUACGGAAAGGCGAAGAAAACAAUGGAAGAUAUAAUUCUAGAUUUUCAUAAGAACUCAAAUAUGGGUGUCAUGAUUUUGAGGUAGAUUGUUCUUGUACUCCUUUCUUUUUAGUUUCUGUUUUUCAUGUUGGUGUGAAUUGAUCCUUACCUUUCCCUUCAUUUUUUGGUUGUUUCUAUCUAUUUUUAUUUUCACAUGCUUGUUCAUGAUAUCUGGUACAUUAUUUGUUAUGUCAACCCGCUUAGUUUAUUUUCUGGUCAUCUAUCUUCUAAUUCAAAAGGCUAGCUAACUAUUUAACUUUCCUAUUACUGAAGUCUCAUGAUGAUGUUGUGAACUAACUGAUCGAAGUAUCUCUUCAGUUGUAAAUAUUUACCUUCUCAAAGAAAUGCUCUCUUCAAUUGUUUUCCAUGCCUUUUCAUUGUUCUUUACCAACUAAACUACAGGCUUGCACUUCUUUGAUGUCUGUAAAUUCAUGUAUUUUCUUGUGUUACUUUUUUUGUUGUAUGCCGAUAAAAUUACCUUCACUUUAUUUAUUUGUGAAAUCAGAACUAUUAUAUUAGAUAUUUAUUGCUAUUUAGAAAUUUUAAUUAUAUAUCUCAGGUAGAUAUGAUGUCAUAAAGCUAAAUCACUGUCUGAAUUGUUGGGCCCGAUGCUUGGCAACAAAUCAUCUUGUAUUACUAAAUAUGCAUUGAUUUGCAGGCUAAGUUUGUUAAUGUAUUGAUUUCUCUCUUUCUUUUGAAGCAGAUUGGCUGUAUUACUUGAAUUUUGGCAGCAAUUUAGUUUGUUAACUCUUUGGGUAAGCUAUGUUGUGUAAGUCUAAGUCAUAGGAUUAGGUGUAUUGAUUGGGAACAAUGAACAUAGCUGGCUCAGUGACAUCUUCCUAUGUGACUACAGCUAGAUGGAAUACAUAUCUGGAAUCAUAACUUACAUAAAUAGAUGAUGGUUUUCUUGACAAACUGAUUGCACGUGGAUUUUCCUUAUCCCCGGAACUGCUUUUUACAGAAACUGACAACAAUAUCUAGGAACAAAAAAAGGUCCCUGUCAUUCUUAUUGUGAGAACUGAUUCGACAGUCUACUUUUCCAACUCCAAUUGCAUGAAAGGCAGGUACUAGUUAUUAAACUGAAAGAAACUAAUCAAGCAAAAUUACCCGCAAGGGUGGUUCAGUUGGUUGAGCAUGGGGCUUUUAUAACGGAGGUCUCAGGUUUGAAAUCCCCUGCCUACAACAAGAGGGGAUUUGCUUUCUGGGUCGAGCUCGUCGCACGGGGCUUGUCGAGUGCGGGUUAUCUCUUCUGUGUGUUUUGCGAGCUAUUGCAUAGGAGCUGGGUUUACCCUGUGUCCACCCGAAAGGUAACGGCUACGGGUUCCCAUGUCAUAAAAAAAAAAACUAAUCAAGCAAAGGUUCGAUAGAUGAGAUGUCAAUUACUAGUACAUACUAGUGAAAUUCAUGCCUGAAAAGAUUUAUUCAAAUCCCCUGAUCAAGAAAUGAUAUGUUGAAGACAAAAUACAAUUAGACGCAAUAGAUGACGGUUAAGCUAAUCAGGAGUUGUUGUCUCAAACUUCAAUCAAGGAAGGGUGAAUUUCUUCAACAACUGGAAAUAAAGGCAGCGCAACUAAGAGUUUGAAGACAAAGUAAAAGUUUGGAGACAUAUUAUGUUAUUUUUUUGGGUUAUGCAUAUAUACUAAGAAAAUGUAUUAUAAUGUGUACUUUGUAUAUAUUAUGUUUGACUUUUUAGCAAUGAGAUAUUCUUAUAUAAUUCUAUUUUCCAGAAUCACCUGCUUAUUGUAUUAAUUAUGACAAUUUGCAGUGACAAUUUUAUUUUGUCAGUAAAAGCAAUAUUUUUGGUGA
Molecule: long non-coding RNA, 3674 nt
Organism: Lycium barbarum (goji berry)
Lineage: Eukaryota; Viridiplantae; Streptophyta; Magnoliopsida; Solanales; Solanaceae
Exons: 5
Source: RefSeq, a predicted model, not a curated record